AUAAAAUAAAAUCACACAAAAUAAUUAGCUCCCCUUACCUGGGUUCUCACAGUACAACUAACUAAAGACCUCGACAGUACCUCUCACAGCAACAGGAGCUCUACCCAACCCUACAAGCCACCAAUUUGGUGUAGCGUACAGCUCUUAAAGCUAGAAGGUACAAAGAAACGAAAGGAAAAACAUACGAGGCACAUGAAAACAGCAAAGUGACAUGUCUUAACUCAAGAACAGUGAAGAGAAAAAGGAAAAAUGACUUACCAGUCGGAAUGGAGAAAUGUUCAACUUGAAUAGAAGCUCUCUAUGCCAGGAAUGAUUUGGUAGCACCAAAUCAAAAUUUUAACAGUUUAAGGUUCUAGAAAUGUAGAGAGAAGGUAAAGGAUUUU
This 383-nucleotide long non-coding RNA is filed under the name Vigna radiata. RNAcentral's name for it is "long non-coding RNA (VRAD_LNC003588)". Lineage: Eukaryota; Viridiplantae; Streptophyta; Magnoliopsida; Fabales; Fabaceae. The record is from RNAcentral.